This 406-nucleotide long non-coding RNA is filed under the name Homo sapiens (human). RNAcentral describes it as "HSALNT0163364". The record is from RNAcentral. Lineage: Eukaryota; Metazoa; Chordata; Mammalia; Primates; Hominidae.
GUGAGACGUUGAAAAGAAGAGAGAAAGGAAUUGAAUGGAGUCUACUGAAUUUACUGCAGGCACUGAGAUAAUCUGCAAGCCACAGACUUAUAACUCAUGUAAGCUGUUUCUCAAAUAUCUGCCCAGUGGUGCUGGUGAGAGCCCGAUGAAAAUGCACAAAGAGUGACACAACCUGGCCACCACUAAGAAGUAAAGAGCUCAGUGAUUUCUCAUCUAUUCUUUCACAGCUACACACCAAUGAAAACAAACACCCGAAACCGUCUUCUGUGGCAUUUGUCAGUUGAAAAAGAACACCUUAGACUUAACUUUUAAAAUGUCUGUAAUAAAAAUAUAAUUCCAUUUUCUUUUCUCGUUUGGUUCUGUUAUGCUCAGUGUUACUUGUGACAGAUAAAACAUUAUUUACAAC